RNAcentral lists this long non-coding RNA (335 nucleotides) under Anser cygnoides (Swan goose). RNAcentral describes it as "lncRNA (ENSACDG00005010031.1)". The record is from RNAcentral. Lineage: Eukaryota; Metazoa; Chordata; Aves; Anseriformes; Anatidae.
AUGCUAAGUUUUCCUGAUUUAACAGCUUAUUUAAAACUGAAAUUAGAUUUCCUUCCAUUUCCAGCUAUUAUCCAUGAUGUAACUAAGCAACACCACCUUCAUGUUAUUGAUGGGUCUGAGUGCACACAGAUCUUGCUGACUGGGACGAGCAUUGGUACACUCCCCUGUAACUGCAAAUUCCAUAGGAACCUUUCAAAAGUUGAUCUGAGAGUACUUGGAAAGGCUAGUCCGUCACCUUUUCCUGUGCAUGGGACACAGCUGGGAUCACCACAGAUCCAGCUGAGCACCCAGCACUCCCACACAGCCUGUGAUGCCAGGCUCUGACCUUUGCACAG